RNAcentral lists this ribosomal RNA (409 nucleotides) under uncultured Corynebacterium sp. RNAcentral describes it as "bacterial SSU rRNA". It matches the Rfam family "Bacterial small subunit ribosomal RNA", at positions 355 to 774 of the family's 1533-position model. RNAcentral also lists the same sequence under 1 other name. Lineage: Bacteria; Bacillati; Actinomycetota; Actinomycetes; Mycobacteriales; Corynebacteriaceae. The record is from RNAcentral.
UGGGGAAUAUUGCACAAUGGGCGCAAGCCUGAUGCAGCGACGCCGCGUGGGGGAUGAAGGCCUUCGGGUUGUAAACUCCUUUCAACCAUGACGAAGCAUUAUGUGACGGUAGUGGUAGAAGAAGCACCGGCUAACUACGUGCCAGCAGCCGCGGUAAUACGUAGGGUGCGAGCGUUGUCCGGAAUUACUGGGCGUAAAGAGCUCGUAGGUGGUUUGUCGCGUCGUCUGUGAAAUUCCGGGGCUUAACUCCGGGCGUGCAGGCGAUACGGGCAUAACUUGAGUGCUGUAGGGGAGACUGGAAUUCCUGGUGUAGCGGUGAAAUGCGCAGAUAUCAGGAGGAACACCGAUGGCGAAGGCAGGUCUCUGGGCAGUAACUGACGCUGAGGAGCGAAAGCAUGGGUAGCGAACA